Molecule: long non-coding RNA, 619 nt
Filed under: Gallus gallus (chicken)
Lineage: Eukaryota; Metazoa; Chordata; Aves; Galliformes; Phasianidae
Description: lncRNA (ENSGALG00010014529.1)
Source: RNAcentral
CCUGAAGCAAGGCAGCAUUACAUCCCUCCUAUUAGCAGGGCUUCGAGAGGCUCUGCAGCUCCCGCUGACGAGGGAUGGUGCUACUUGCAGAGGGACCUGCAGGGACACCGUGGGACUGCCCGCAGCACAGCUCCUCUGGCACUGCCUGGGCAGGGAACCCCGCAGUCCAGCACAAGCCAGCUCCCACCAGCACAUCAGCCUCUUGCAGUGUCUGGAUCCGAGCUGUUGCUAAUGAGGAUGGUGCUCAUCAUGUGAUCGUGCCUUUGGGCAAGGGUGGUGGUGCUGCUAAUUGGCUUCUCUGGCUGCGGUUUCCUUAGGAAACAAGGUUAAAGCAACUCACAGCUCAAAAAUGUACCUCCCGGAGGAAGGCGCUUCAUUACUCCUUCCCCUGUAAAUGGAAACAACUCUAUACCUGACGCCGGCCCCUUUCUAUCACCAGGUGGAACCAAAGGAUGUGGGUGCACCUCUGCUAUGAUCUCUCCCGGUGUGUUGGUCCUGCGGCCCAGCCCUGGAUCAACACGUUUUCUAUCUUGUGUAUUUGAUCACCAGAGCUAUGAAAAUUGUGAAAUGAAGUUCUCCCGGCUAAAUCAAAUAGAAAGGAAGUGGCUUUGUAUCAAAC